CUUCUUCCUCUGAUAAGUUCAUAUAAUAUUUAUAGGCGCUCUGGAUCUUUUACUAGAAGCAUUAGAACUCUCAUUCCCUUUCAGAAGAAUGGCUAUCAAGGAGUAUGUGCAGACUUCACGUCUGGAUCAGUGUGCUCUUAAAUCCGCAACUACAGAAAAAUAUGUGACUCUUGAAAUCCCUUCAGCUCUUAUCUCUUCAUGGAGAAGACAGGGAUAUUCUCAUCUCCAUCCCUCUUCACCUUGUGGUCACCCUCCAUGGCAGACGAGCUCUCCUAGUGACAGCCAGAUUGUCCUUAUUGGAUAUCAGGUUCCUCAAUUAUGAACAUGCUGUGAUUGGUACCUGUAUAACCACUCUCUACACUGAAAGUGUGGUUCUUACUUUCUUCCCCAACGACAACAUGUCUCUUCAAGACCCUAAUCUUCCCACGACACUAAAAGUUCAAGUCCAGCUUAUUGGGGCAGAACAAACUGUCUUCUCUAUAGCAGCUACCUUACACCACCAUAUAACUUAUAGGCUUCAAGAUCAAGUCAUAGAUUUAUCUCAGUCAGGA
RNAcentral lists this unclassified non-coding RNA (551 nucleotides) under Hevea brasiliensis (rubber tree). Lineage: Eukaryota; Viridiplantae; Streptophyta; Magnoliopsida; Malpighiales; Euphorbiaceae. The record is from RNAcentral.